CCUACGGGUGGCAGCAGUAGGGAAUCUUCCACAAUGGGCGAAAGCCUGAUGGGGCAACGCCGCGUGGGUGAAGAAGGUCUUCGGAUCGUAAAACCCUGUUGUUAGAGAAGAAAGUGCGUGAGAGUAACUGUUCACGUUUCGACGGUAUCUAACCAGAAAGCCACGGCUAAAUACGGGCCAGCAGCCGCGGCAAUUCGUAGGUGGCAAGCGUUAUCCGGUUUUAUUGGGCGUAAAGGGACCGCAGGCGUUCUUUUAAGUCUGAUGUGAAAGCCUUCGGCUUAACCGGAGUAGUGCAUUGGAAACUGGGCGACUUGGGUGCAGAAGAGGAGAGUGGAACUCGAUGUGUAGCGGUGAAAUGCGUAGAUAUAUGGAAGAACACCAGUGGCGAAAGCAGCUCUCUGGUCUGUAACUGACGCCGAGGUUCGAAAGCGUGGGUAGCAAACAGGAUUAGAUACCCGAGUAGUC
Molecule: ribosomal RNA, 465 nt
Filed under: uncultured bacterium
Lineage: Bacteria
Description: partial 16S ribosomal RNA
Rfam family: Bacterial small subunit ribosomal RNA
Source: RNAcentral